GACGAACGCUGGCGGCGUGCUUAACACAUGCAAGUCGAGCGGAAAGGCCCUUCGGGGUUCUCGAGCGGCGAACGGGUGAGUAACACGUGAGUAACCUGCCCCAGACUUUGGGAUAACCCUCGGAAACGGGGGCUAAUACCGGAUACGACACAGCUUCGCAUGGGGUCUGUGUGGAAAGUUUUGCGGUUUGGGAUGGGCUCGCGGCCUAUCAGCUUGUUGGUGGGGUGAUGGCCUACCAAGGCGACGACGGGUAGCCGGCCUGAGAGGGCGACCGGCCACACUGGGACUGAGACACGGCCCAGACUCCUACGGGAGGCAGCAGUGGGGAAUAUUGCACAAUGGGCGGAAGCCUGAUGCAGCGACGCCGCGUGAGGGAUGACGGCCUUCGGGUUGUAAACCGCUUUCAGCAGGGACGAAGCGUAAGUGACGGUACCUGCAGAAGAAGCGCCGGCCAACUACGUG
This 462-nucleotide ribosomal RNA is filed under the name uncultured bacterium. RNAcentral's name for it is "partial 16S ribosomal RNA". It matches the Rfam family "Bacterial small subunit ribosomal RNA", at positions 28 to 507 of the family's 1533-position model. The record is from RNAcentral.